GAUGAACGCUGACAGAAUGCUUAACACAUGCAAGUCAACUGUGGCGGACGGGUGAGUAACGCGUAAAGAACUUGCCUCACGGAUAGGGACAACAUUUGGAAACGAAUGCUAAUACCUGAUACUGUGGGAGAGCUUUGCGUCCCAUUAGCUAGUUGGAGAGGUAACGGCUCACCAAGGCGAUGAUGGGUAGCCGGCCUGAGAGGGUGAUCGGCCACAAGGGGACUGAGAGUCGGUCCUUACGCCUACGGGUGGAAGCAGGGCGGAAUAGAUGACAAUGGACCAAAGUCUGAUCAAGGAAUUCGGGGUGUACGAUGAAGUUUUCGGAAGGUAAAGUGCUUUGUGUAGAGAAGCGGUACCCACAGAAGAAGCGACGGCUAAAUACGUGCCAGCAGCCGCGGUAAUUC
This 404-nucleotide ribosomal RNA is filed under the name uncultured bacterium. RNAcentral's name for it is "partial 16S ribosomal RNA". It matches the Rfam family "Bacterial small subunit ribosomal RNA", at positions 28 to 526 of the family's 1533-position model. The record is from RNAcentral.